RNAcentral lists this non-coding RNA (27 nucleotides) under Homo sapiens (human). Lineage: Eukaryota; Metazoa; Chordata; Mammalia; Primates; Hominidae. The record is from RNAcentral.
UCCCAAAGCUUCUCUAGUGUUUCAGGG